This 440-nucleotide ribosomal RNA is filed under the name uncultured prokaryote. RNAcentral's name for it is "partial 16S ribosomal RNA". The record is from RNAcentral.
CCCUAUGGGGCGCAAUACCGUCCAAAUUGCGGAGGUUCGGCUUUCGUGCUACCUUGGGUUUGGGUAAGCCGUAAUCCGCUUGCGCCUCGGACGUUGAAACGGGGGCUUUUCUCGGAGUGCCAUCGUAGAGUGGAAAUGGAAAGAACACCCUAUCCGCUGAACGGGCUGGUCGCGGCGUUCAUGGAAAGUGCCGCGCCGGCGUUGGCGCACCUGGCGGCGUGGGGGUGGCGGAAAAAGCAGGCUUGUUUCGACGUGGAUUUUUUGCGCGGGACCGGACCGGACAUCGGCAAGAUUGCCAAUGAGCCCGGCGCCUGGAAUGCGCUUGGCUUUCUCCAGGCGCGGUUUAUUGAUCAAUUGAAAACGGUUGGAAUGGGGCCCGAUGAUCUGCUGGCCGCGCGCGGCCAUUUCUGGGUGGUCUGGCCAGGAAUUGGCGGGAGGGC